This 401-nucleotide ribosomal RNA is filed under the name uncultured bacterium. Its description in RNAcentral is "bacterial SSU rRNA". It matches the Rfam family "Bacterial small subunit ribosomal RNA", at positions 356 to 773 of the family's 1533-position model. The record is from RNAcentral.
AGGGAAUCUUGCGCAAUGGGCGAAAGCCUGACGCAGCAACGCCGCGUGGGGGAAGAAGGCCUUCGGGUUGUAAACCCCUUUCAGGAGGGAAGAAAAUGACGGUACCUCCAGAAGAAGCACCGGCCAACUACGUGCCAGCAGCCGCGGUAAUACGUAGGGUGCGAGCGUUAUCCGGAAUCAUUGGGCGUAAAGAGCUCGUAGGCGGUUCAACAAGUCGGCUGUGAAAGUCCGGGGCUCAACCCCGGAAUUGCAGUCGAUACUGUUGUGACUUGAGUCCGGUAGAGGAGAAUGGAAUUCCCGGUGUAGCGGUGGAAUGCGCAGAUAUCGGGAGGAACACCAGUAGCGAAGGCGGUUCUCUGGGCCGGCACUGACGCUGAGGAGCGAAAGCGUGGGGAGCAAAC